Molecule: ribosomal RNA, 433 nt
Filed under: uncultured bacterium
Lineage: Bacteria
Description: partial 16S ribosomal RNA
Rfam family: Bacterial small subunit ribosomal RNA
Source: RNAcentral
AGCGAACGCUGGCGGCAGGCCUAACACAUGCAAGUCGAACGAACCUUUCGGGGUUAGUGGCGGACGGGUGAGUAACACGUGGGAACGUGCCUUUAGGUUCGGAAUAACUCAGGGAAACUUGUGCUAAUACCGAAUGUGCCCUUCGGGGGAAAGAUUUAUCGCCUUUAGAGCGGCCCGCGUCUGAUUAGCUAGUUGGUUGAGGUAAUGGCUCACCAAGGCGACGAUCAGUAGCUGGUCUGAGAGGAUGAUCAGCCACAUUGGGACUGAGACACGGCCCAAACUCCUACGGGGGGCAGCAGUGGGGAAUCUUGCGCAAUGGGCGAAAGCCUGACGCAGCCAUGCCGCGUGAAUGAUGAAGGUCUUAGGAUUGUAAAAUUCUUUCACCGGGGACGAUAAUGACGGUACCCGGAGAAGAAGCCCCGGCUAACUUCGU